This 253-nucleotide ribosomal RNA is filed under the name uncultured bacterium. RNAcentral's name for it is "partial 16S ribosomal RNA". It matches the Rfam family "Bacterial small subunit ribosomal RNA", at positions 524 to 776 of the family's 1533-position model. The record is from RNAcentral.
UACGUAGGGGGCAAGCGUUGUCCGGAAUCAUUGGGCGUAAAGCGCGCGUAGGCGGCCCUGUAAGUCCGUUGUGAAAGUCAAAGGCUCAACCUUUGAAAGCCGAUGGAUACUGCAGGGCUAGAGUCCGGAAGAGGCGAGUGGAAUUCCUGGUGUAGCGGUGGAAUGCGCAGAUAUCAGGAGGAACACCAAUAGCGAAGGCAGCUCGCUGGGACGGUACUGACGCUGAGGCGCGAAAGCGUGGGGAGCGAACAGG